UCAGUCAUCUAGUCUUUUGCUUCUUUCCAACAACAACCAGCAGUGAUGGUUCAUGCUUCCACCAAGCCCAUCUCCUCCUUUUUUCUCUCCACCGUAUCAGCCCAACUCCAACCCAGCCAAAGCCUAUUCUAUUUCUCCACCAACAGCCCAACUCGGCAACUCCUCUUGACAUCCUUCUUCCAGCUCGUACGUACGGCAGCGUAUCCGAAGACCUGCACGUCGCUGUCCGCGAUGGGACGGCCGAUGAUCAACUCCCUCCCCUAUAAAAAUCCGAGCAGCUGCCCACCUGCCUAGUCCCCUCUCCAUCCCAUCAGCGCCGCCACUUCCCGCCCGCUGCUUCCCUGGACAAAACCCUACCGUGAUACAGCCAACGCCGUCUACCUCGCUCGCCGUCGCCAUGGCCGCCGACGACGCCACCUGAUCCGUGGAAUCGCUCCGUAUCGGCCUCCUCUUCCUCGACGUCUGCUUCACGGAGACGAACGCGCCAAGGACCGCCUCCUUCCUCUUCUUCCCGACGCUGUCUACCCCGGCCACUUCUUCCUCUUCGUCGCUGGCCACCAUCUCCGACGCCUCAACCUCGUCGACGAGCAUCCCAGGCAUUUGCUUCUUCCCGGAUAGGAUCACGAAGUGGUGUUGUGAGAUACGACAAGUUCUUCUGCAGCUUUUCAUAGGCGAGCCCACCCCUUCACCUAUUUUACUUUUACAUGCUCUUUUGAUCUAUUGCUAUCCUUAUGUUGCGAUUCUGUUGUGUCACGUGUCCCAUCCACCUGUUACCUAUAUGUCCGAGAUACACCUCCUCGCCCUACCUAUUGUUUGAUGUUUGCCAGCUUUGCGAGUCGUAGGCGAGUUUAGGGUUUUCUGUUGAUAUCUCGAAAUGUUCGGGAUAUCUUGCUGGGAUGUUGACUUAUGCACUACCUUUUCAAAAUGAUGACGAUAACUUUUGCUACAACUUAAAAUUACUAAGGGAUAUAAUAUGCAGAGGCAUCUGUGAGCCCCUUUGCGAAAGCAUCGGAACUUUGACUUGCUAGUGUCCCCUAGGACCCGAGUUCUUGUUAUCUGUUCCGAGAUUGAGCGCUCUACCCAUGCGUGGGGACGAUUAUUGGGACCCCCCCUCACCCAUUACCAUUUCUCAAGUCUGUUGAAAAGGGGGCCACAACAUUGGUUUUAUUUGCCUAUGCCAUGUAUGCCAUGCUUUACUUACUGUUGCCUUCGGGUGUUUACUUCCUGUUGCCUUCGGGUGUUUAUAUUCUGUACUGUACCUUGCGGGACGUUUAGCGAAGCGUGUGGUUCGCACGCCUAGCCGCCGGCGCAAACCUCUGAGUCCGUCUCGGAGUACGGCCGAACUUCGAUACGGGUAGCUUAGGCGGGUGGCCCCCCUAGACUUUCUUGUUGAUUUGGGAACGGUCUUGUUGUGAGACAUCCACCUGUCGUAAGUGGGUCGAGCAUGCGUAUGGUUACAUUUGGGCAACCCCUGCAGGGUGUACAUCUUAUCGAUAAGCCGUGUCCGCGGUUAUGGACGACUUGGAGCUGUUUAACUCGAUCAUAGAACAACUUACACCUAAUGAUGUCGCUAAUAACUUGCUAAUUACUUGCGUAGUAAUUUAGCCCUAUUAUAAUGGAAUGGAUAUAAAAUUGUCAACUGUGUGAGUGUCUUGUUAGUACCUCUUGGCUAAGGGGGAUCGCAAUGGCAGGGUUUGUUUGCAGAGUAUAGAACUGCUAGAUUAUGCGCUCUCUCACCUUCUCUAUUAGACGGAAGUUGUAGCGUGUCUCUAUUGGUUAGUGCUUUGCUGCCGCUAAACUCCACAUAUAGCCGGGCGAAGUUUACACCGCCCACCAGCAAGCAUAGCUGGUCUUGUCUCGCAAGUACGUGCCAUUGGUACUUACCCUCGUUUUUCUUCCUCUUUUUCCGGAACACGCUUUUUGACAAACAGGUACGAGAUGACGACGUUAGCAAGGUUACCCUUCCGGCUUGGCCUGGGCAGGGUUAUGGAUGCCACUGGUUAUCUUCAGGACUCUUAGUCCAAUUUGUAUCUUGUCCGUACUCGGAUGUAUUCGAUCUUCUGUAUGAUUUGGAUCUUUGUAUUGUAUAUUUGUAUCUUGACUUGUUGGAGUCGUUGUUGUAAUAUAUGUAUCUUGUGGGCUCUAUUGUAAUCCUGUUGUAAUGUUA
Long non-coding RNA from Lolium perenne, 2167 nucleotides. RefSeq lists it as uncharacterized. Lineage: Eukaryota; Viridiplantae; Streptophyta; Magnoliopsida; Poales; Poaceae. The record is from RefSeq and is a predicted model, not a curated record.